This 291-nucleotide ribosomal RNA is filed under the name uncultured bacterium. Its description in RNAcentral is "partial 16S ribosomal RNA". It matches the Rfam family "Bacterial small subunit ribosomal RNA", at positions 334 to 642 of the family's 1533-position model. The record is from RNAcentral.
UUUACCUACGGGGGGCAGCAGUGGGGAAUAUUGCACAAUGGGGGAAACCCUGAUGCAGCGACGCCGCGUGAGUGAGGAAGUAUUUCGGUAUGUAAAGCUCUAUCAGCAGGGAAGAAAAUGACGGUACCUGACUAAGAAGCCCCGGCUAACUACGUGCCAGCAGCCGCGGUAAUACGUAGGGGGCAAGCGUUAUCCGGAUUUACUGGGUGUAAAGGGAGCGUAGACGGAGGAGCAAGUCUGCUGUGAAAAUCCUGGGCCCAACCCAGGCACUGCGUUGGACACUGUUUAUCU